Molecule: non-coding RNA, 357 nt
Organism: Trichechus manatus latirostris (Florida manatee)
Lineage: Eukaryota; Metazoa; Chordata; Mammalia; Sirenia; Trichechidae
Source: the annotation of a RefSeq genome assembly
AUGCACCCAAUAGUCAUUGGCUUUAUAGUCCUUUGCUUCCUGAGUGCAGGCUCCUUUGAUGCUGAAGUCACCCAGACGCCAAGACAUCUGCUCAAAGGGAAAGGACAAAAAGUGAAAAUGGACUGUGUUCCGAUAAAAGGACACAGUUAUGUUUAUUGGUAUCAGCAGAUCCCAGCCAAAGAGUUCAAGUUCUUGAUUUCAUUUCAGAACGAAAAGAUCUUUGAUGGAAAUGAGAUGCCCAAGGAGAGAUUUUCAGCUGAGUGCCCCCAAGACUCAGCCUGCAGCCUGGAGAUCCAGCCGGCAGGGCUACAGGACUCGGCCAUGUAUUUCUGUGCCAGCAGGGUGUCCACAGUGUGA